This 465-nucleotide ribosomal RNA is filed under the name Vreelandella stevensii. RNAcentral describes it as "partial 16S ribosomal RNA". It matches the Rfam family "Bacterial small subunit ribosomal RNA", at positions 338 to 795 of the family's 1533-position model. Lineage: Bacteria; Pseudomonadati; Pseudomonadota; Gammaproteobacteria; Oceanospirillales; Halomonadaceae. The record is from RNAcentral.
CCUACGGGAGGCAGCAGUGGGGAAUAUUGGACAAUGGGCGAAAGCCUGAUCCAGCCAUGCCGCGUGUGUGAAGAAGGCCUUCGGGUUGUAAAGCACUUUCAGUGGGGAAGAAAGCCUUGGGGCUAAUACCCUCGAGGAAGGACAUCACCCACAGAAGAAGCACCGGCUAACUCCGUGCCAGCAGCCGCGGUAAUACGGAGGGUGCGAGCGUUAAUCGGAAUUACUGGGCGUAAAGCGCGCGUAGGCGGUCUGAUAAGCCGGUUGUGAAAGCCCCGGGCUCAACCUGGGAACGGCAUCCGGAACUGUCAGGCUAGAGUGCAGGAGAGGAAGGUAGAAUUCCCGGUGUAGCGGUGAAAUGCGUAGAGAUCGGGAGGAAUACCAGUGGGGAAGGCGGCCUUCUGGACUGACACUGACGCUGAGGUGCGAAAGCGUGGGUAGCAAACAGGAUUAGAUACCCGAGUAGUC